RNAcentral lists this long non-coding RNA (472 nucleotides) under Gallus gallus (chicken). RNAcentral's name for it is "long non-coding RNA NONGGAT003052". Lineage: Eukaryota; Metazoa; Chordata; Aves; Galliformes; Phasianidae. The record is from RNAcentral.
ACAGGGUUUUGUCGGUGUGCAGGGGGGCAGAGGGCACACAGGACCUCCUGGACCCACAGGGCCCCAAGGAAAACCUGGAGCUGAUGGAGACCUGGGUUGCAUGGGUCCAAAGGGUCUGCCUGGGAAACCUGGCUUGGAGGGACCGCAGGGGCCGGUCGGCAUGUAUGGCUACCCAGGACUGGCUGGCGACCGUGGGAAGCCAGGACACAGGGGAGAAAAGGGAGAAGCUGGAGCCCGAGGCCCACCAGGAUUCCCUGGAAAAGCUGGUCCCAAGGCCCCACCAGGCCGCCCUGGUCCACGAGGUGCUCCUGGCUCCCAGGGGAGAGCAGGAGAGCCGGGUCCUCGGGGGCUCCCAGGGCUGCCGGGAGCUCCUGGUGUGCGGGGGCUGCAUGGUAUGCCUGGGAAGCCUGGCUUAGCGGGGGAAAUAGGAGCACCUGGAGCAGCAGGGGCUGCUGGCCCUCCUGGGUACCCG